GAGAAAGCACUUAAGGAUGCUUGCUUGGGAGUGGAGAGGGGAGGACGAAUAUCUAAUGGAUUUUUUAUUGCUCGUCAGCCUUUUAGACUUCUGUGCCCCUGCUCCCCCCACUGCAUUCAGAUAUUAAUGGUCCUUUCCUUCCCCCCCCACCUUUCCUCCCAGAUGCUAUUGCUAAAAUUUGCUUGCUUUUAUUUCUGAAAUGUUCAACAGUUUGCUCUGCUCUGACUUCCUCUUAUCCUCCCCCACUCUUCAUUUCCUUGCUGACUCUGCUCUUUUGUUGCUGGAGAAUGAGAAUAAAAACCAGGAGCUUCAAGAAGGAAUUUCAAUAGUGUGAAUUUCGCUCGACUACAAAUGGUUUGUGGAUCUUUUCCAGCCACACUUCAAGAGAUUUGCUUCCCUAGGGGACUCCGAUGUUUACACUGACAAGGGAGACUCCUUGCUCGCCCCGUCUGCCUGCUGUAAGCACACAAACCCGNCCUUGCAGCCGGCGAAGUCCUUCUCUCAGCCAAGCAUUCGCCCGCCGAGAACUCGAGAACAAAGCGAAGCUCCUACUUCUGUUUCUACCGGAGNCUUUGAACUGACUGCCGAAGCAGCCGCCCACCGCCACAGCUGGUGUGGAAGCAGGCCUGUAGCCACCCCCCACCAUUUUUUGCCCUCCCCCAGAAAGCUUGUCCUGNGUAUUUUUUUCUAUUAUACUAAUGUAGAAUGGUUACAGAAAAAAUGUGACAUAUUACUCAUUCANCCCCAAAUUUGUGACAGCCCACUCCAGAUAUGGAGCUGGCUACGGGCCU
RNAcentral lists this long non-coding RNA (791 nucleotides) under Salvator merianae (Argentine black and white tegu). RNAcentral describes it as "lncRNA (ENSSMRG00000020168.1)". The record is from RNAcentral. Lineage: Eukaryota; Metazoa; Chordata; Lepidosauria; Squamata; Teiidae.